UUUGCAUAUCAAUAAGCGGAGGAAAAGAAACCAACAGGGAUUGCCCCAGUAGCGGCGAGUGAAGCGGCAAAAGCUCAGAUUUGGAAUCGCUUCGGCGAGUUGUGAAUUGCAGGUUGGCGCCUCUGCGGCGGCGGCGGUCCAAGUCCCUUGGAACAGGGCGCCAUUGAGGGUGAGAGCCCCGUGGGACCGUUUGCCUAUGCUCUGAGGCCCUUCUGACGAGUCGAGUUGUUUAAUA
Molecule: ribosomal RNA, 235 nt
Filed under: uncultured yeast
Lineage: Eukaryota; Fungi
Description: partial 26S rRNA
Rfam family: Eukaryotic large subunit ribosomal RNA
Source: RNAcentral